UGUAUUGGACAACAUUCAGCAACAUAGUUAGAUAUAUUUACUACUAAAAUGACUGAGCUGAUCAUAUCCAAUACAAGACUUUGUUAAGAAGCAUUUAAAAUGCAAUAGAUAUAGUAAUUUUUAAGUUCAGCACUAAUAGUGUAAAAGUCAACAUACAGUUUCAAAUCUAACAAAACUUAGUUCUGUUUUAUAUACCCUCUAUACAAUUCCAAAACCUUCUUCUUGGAAAUUCAAGGCUGAGUCCAUAUUUCUUUCAAACUCUUCAUAGUUUUUUUACCUCACCAGGUAAUUCCAAUUCCAAUGGACCUGUGUUAGCAUUGGGGUAAAUGAAUGUAUUUUGAAGAAUAGUUAUACUCGAUGGAUGAAAACCCAUUGGAGAUACCGAGUGAAAAACUGUUUGAUGCGAAUCUCAACAUUAUCAAACUGAACAACAGAUAAAAAAUCAUGGAGUGUCAAAGGUGGGCAAGUACCAGCCACAAAUAAGGUUUCCAUCUUGUCUGGAUGUCUUCUGAUUACAUCAAGAAGUGGGCAUAAGCCGAUCAUCAAUUGAUCAAUUUCAGCCUUCCUGGAUAAGAUGACUCCAUGCAGACACAAGGACAUAAUAGCUUGAAAACGAUUAUCAAUAUUGACGGGAUGAGGAAAACCUGACUCAACUAACAAAGGUUGAAUUUCAGAAGCCAAGGUUUCAUUGUUUUCUUCAUCAAAAGCAUCUAGCUUUUAAAAGUAUAAGCCAAAGUUAAUUUUCAUAGUUGUAAGAGCACAAAAAAAAUUGAUUACUUUUCAUAUUUAUAUUAAAAAACCUUUCGCAUUCAUGCGUCAAACGCUAACAAAUUAAGGCACUACCUUUGUUCUUGGAGCGCUGAGCACGUUCCUCCCCCCCCCCCUCCCCACUGUCAACGCCACUGACUAGUCCAGUUAGGCAAACAAUCAUAGUUUCACCAAGCAAUAUACAUACUACACAAACAAAGAAUCAUUGUAAACCACAAUGCAUUUUCUUGGUUGAAUAAAUAGACAAACGUUGUAUUAGUUUGUAA
This is a long non-coding RNA of Xenia sp. Carnegie-2017, 1034 nucleotides long. RefSeq lists it as uncharacterized. NCBI's taxonomy places the organism in Eukaryota, Metazoa, Cnidaria, Anthozoa, Malacalcyonacea, Xeniidae. The record is from RefSeq and is a predicted model, not a curated record. The transcript is spliced from 2 exons.